This 403-nucleotide ribosomal RNA is filed under the name Acanthamoeba sp. Its description in RNAcentral is "SSU rRNA". It matches the Rfam family "Eukaryotic small subunit ribosomal RNA", at positions 762 to 1114 of the family's 1831-position model. Lineage: Eukaryota; Discosea; Longamoebia; Acanthamoebidae. The record is from RNAcentral.
AAAAUUAGAGUGUUCAAAGCAGGCAGAUUCAAUUUUCUGCCACCGAAUACAUUAGCAUGGGAUAAUGGAAUAGGACCCUGUCCUCCUAUUUUCAGUUGGUUUUGGCAGCGCGAGGACUAGGGUAAUGAUUAAUAGGGAUAGUUGGGGGCAUUAAUAUUUAAUUGUCAGAGGUGAAAUUCUUGGAUUUAUGAAAGAUUAACUUCUGCGAAAGCAUCUGCCAAGGAUGUUUUCAUUAAUCAAGAACGAAAGUUAGGGGAUCGAAGACGAUCAGAUACCGUCGUAGUCUUAACCAUAAACGAUGCCGACCAGCGAUUAGGAGACGUUGAAUACAAAACACCACCAUCGGCGCGGUCGUCCUUGGCGUUCGUGUUCACGCACGAGCGCGAGGGCGGUUUAGCCCGAU